GACUCAUCUUUUGGACUUUAGCCA
This 24-nucleotide non-coding RNA is filed under the name Arabidopsis thaliana (thale cress). Lineage: Eukaryota; Viridiplantae; Streptophyta; Magnoliopsida; Brassicales; Brassicaceae. The record is from RNAcentral.